UUGCGUUUUUAAGUUUUUUAGAAAUAUUUUCAAUGUUUUUUGUACAUUAUUCCGGUGUUUUAAUGUUUUUUUAAUGUUUCCGUAUGUUUUUCAUUCAUUAUUCCUGCGUCUUGAUGUUUUUUGAUGUUUCCCUUCGUUUUGCUUACAUUUCAUAAUGUUUUUCCAGUUUAUUUCAACAAUUUAAACUUCAUUUCCUACCUAACCUAACCUAGCCUAACCAGACACACCAAACCACUCGCUCUCUUUCCCACAGGCCAUGAGGGAGGCAGUGGAGGUGUGGGGGGUCCAGCACGCCAUCAUAGACAACCUGCAUUUCAUCAGCAAAUGAAUUAAUGAAGUAUGAGAGGACCAAGCAGGUGGUGGACAGCCUCAAGGGGAAUGAGGAGACCCUCCGUGGUGCCGUGGCUGACUGUGAAGGAAAAUUAAAGAAGCAAGAACAAAAAUUCCUUGAAUUCCAAAAGCAUGCCGAGGAGAAAA
This is a long non-coding RNA of Portunus trituberculatus (swimming crab), 477 nucleotides long. RefSeq lists it as uncharacterized. NCBI's taxonomy places the organism in Eukaryota, Metazoa, Arthropoda, Malacostraca, Decapoda, Portunidae. The record is from RefSeq and is a predicted model, not a curated record. The transcript has 2 exons.